GUAUAUUCAUCUUUCCCUCCCCCCCCCCGCCUCUUUCUAUCUCUCAGGGAAUGAUGAUUACGAUACUGCGAUUCUGUGGGGAACUGGUGUUGGAGUGGCUUUUUUAUCAAUCUGUGUUUUCACUUCGAUUGUUAUUAAAUCGUGCAGGAAAAGGGUUAACAAAAUGGUUAGUUUGGUAGCACCAAAAUGGCUUUUUGAAGAAUAUCCUAAGAUUCAAAACAGCAAAGUAAUCAAAUAUCUCCAGGAAAAUGAUGCUGAGACAGACAAUUUUUCUGAGCCAUUUUUGGAUGUUGUGGUAACUGAAGUUGAAGAAAUAUUGAUGCAGAACCACUACAGGGCUGUGGAGAAAAAGGUGGGGGGAAGCAAAGCAGUUUCUGAGAAAGUCAGUAGCUCAGAAGAUGUACCAUUUGCCAGCAAUUUGGAUGUGACUGCGAGAAAUGGGUACAAACCGCAGACUUCUAAUAAGGCUCAGUUGGGAACUACUUUCAGCAGCACCAGUGAAACCCCUGUUCAAAACUGGGACAACAAAUCCAAUUCAAUAGUUUUGCCCAUAAGUAAUUUAAAAAAAGAUUAUACCAGUCCUUUGGCUCCCGCAUGGCCUAUUGUUGACACCAAUGAAAAUAACUCUUUAUUUGAUAAAAUCAACCUUAUUCUAAGGAACAGUGGAAGUGGGCAGGGCAGGGCAGACUCAAAAGAUGAAGAUCCAAGCACCCAAAAGGCACACCAGUUGAGGUUUCUGCUUUCAGGUGAAGAUAUUCAAGAACAGACUUUAAUACCAGAUAGUCUACUUUCUUGCUUAAAAACAAUAAGCGAAGACCAGACCAACAUGGCUUAUUUCCCUCAAAAUGCUGUUUGCUAUGAGGAUUGAAGAAAAAGAAUACACAUUUUGCACGAAGAACACAAACUUUGCAUUUUCAAGAAGCGUAGCUGAAGGUUCUCCAUUCAUUGUUUGAACAAAAUUGAAAAAAGUAAGACGCAGCCACAAUCUCAGUUUUCAUCUCUCAGAUUAAUUCAUGUUAAAACAUAUAAAGAACAGUUGCUGGAAUUGGGUACGUCUAGUUUAAUGAAAAGGAGGACUAGGGGGGGUGACAUGAUAGCAGUGUUCCAAAAUCUCAGGUGCUACCAAAAAGAAGAGGGAGUCAAGCUAUUCUCCAAAGCACCUGAAGGCAGGACAAGAAACAAUGGAUGGAAACUAAUCAAGGAGAGAAACAACCUAGAACUAAGAAGUUUCCUGACAGAACAAUUAAUCAGUGGAACAACUUGCCCC
Molecule: long non-coding RNA, 1267 nt
Filed under: Naja naja (Indian cobra)
Lineage: Eukaryota; Metazoa; Chordata; Lepidosauria; Squamata; Elapidae
Description: lncRNA (ENSNNAG00000017904.1)
Source: RNAcentral